UACAUGGGGUGCAAACGUUGCUCGGAAUUAUUGGGCGUAAAGAGCUCGUAGGCGGUUUGUCGCGUCUGCUGUGAAAACUCGGGGCUUAACCCCGGGCCUGCAGUGGGUACGGGCAGACUAGAGUGCGGUAGGGGAGACUGGAAUUCCUGGUGUAGCGGUGAAAUGCGCAGAUAUCAGGAGGAACACCGGUGGCGAAGGCGGGUCUCUGGGCCGUAACUGACGCUGAGGAGCGAAAGCGUGGGGAGCGAACAGG
RNAcentral lists this ribosomal RNA (253 nucleotides) under uncultured bacterium. RNAcentral describes it as "partial 16S ribosomal RNA". It matches the Rfam family "Bacterial small subunit ribosomal RNA", at positions 524 to 776 of the family's 1533-position model. The record is from RNAcentral.